Gymnodraco acuticeps is the source of this 1928-nucleotide long non-coding RNA. RefSeq lists it as uncharacterized. NCBI's taxonomy places the organism in Eukaryota, Metazoa, Chordata, Actinopteri, Perciformes, Bathydraconidae. The record is from RefSeq and is a predicted model, not a curated record. The transcript is spliced from 2 exons.
CACUAUGUCCUUUUCCGGGAUUCAGAGGCUCCGACGUGAUCGGGGCAACGUUAUCACAUUUUACAGCCUUGAUUCGUCAAGGAGACCCACGCGGCCCCUCUGUCUGAGCCAAACAGCAAAGGUUUUAGACUAAGUCCCACCCCCCUGUGUCCGGAUAGGUUUAAAAGGGUAAAGGUCCAGGCAAACCUCUGCCCAUGCUACCAUCUUCUCGACCAAUCAACAUAGGUUGCUGUGUAUGUUUUUGGCGGCGGGAGAUAAACAAAGAGAAACAGAGAGACGAGAGAGUAAUACUAAAGAAGAGUAAUUCUGCCAGCGUAAGAGAAAUAAAUACAACACGAGAUAUCUAGAUACAGUCACACACACACACAAAUACACAUACAUACACACACACACAUAUCCCAAGACAAAUUCAAACCAACAUGUCAAAACGGCGUUACACUACGGAAGAAGCCGUAGAAUUUAUUUUGUCUGGCGGACCGCUUAGCGAUGCAGCGGUGGAUUCCUCAGAUUCUGAAGCUGACAACUGGCAAGGAAGAGGAGUAUGAUCACGGGAUUGAUCCCUUCGAAGAUAAAAAAUACAGAGGAUGAGAGAGGGGAUGCACAAGCCCCUGUCCCCAUCAGUAGGCCUCCUUCAAACCGAGAGGGAAAAGAAUGUGGCCAGGAGGGUGCAGCAUCCAGAAAAAAGGCCAAACCAAUGCCAGCCCCCCUGACAGUGAAAGGGAGAGGAAGAGGGAAAGGGAAAAAAACAUCUCUGACCCCAGAAGAGCCAGGAGCUGUUUGGAACGGACCUGAGGUGCCAGAUACUACCACACUUUUGCCCGAAAAGAGCCCCUGGAGUCCAAGGUUUUGUUGGUGUGGAGUAUACUCCUGCACAAAUAUUUAGAAAUUGUUUUAACAACCAAGCUGUAAAUAUCAUCUGCAAGAACACAAACAAAAAUGCUGAAAAGGAGCAGGCUAAGGGGGAAAAGUUUGUUUGGGAAAGCCGGUAAAAUUCCUCAUGUAUGUCGGCCUUAUGGCACUUCUAAGACUGCUAAAAGUAAGUGACUACUGGAGGAAGGGAUCACACCUGAGUGUUCUCUUUCCUGCUUCUGUCAUGACAAGAGACAGGUUCAUGGCAAUCAGCAGAGCUGUACAUCUGAGCGACCCAGACCAUGAUGAAUCUUGAUACAUUUCCUUUGCUCUUUAUAUAUUUUUCUAAUAUUUUGGUUAUAGUUUGAAGAUCAUUUGCUCUUUGUACUUUCGCACUUUCUAUAUAUUCCUAAUACUUUGUUUAUAGUUUUAAUAUAAUUUGCACUUUGUUAAUUUGCACUUUGAAUUUGUUUCACUGUUUGUGUUUGUAUUUCAAUGUUCAAAUUAUAAUAUAUAUCUCUGAAACAAGUUAUUUUUGUUGCAAUGUCAUCUGUUAUGGUUUAAUUGUUUACUCUCUCAACCUUUUUUUGACAGAAGAAACAUGAUCAGUCAUUUAAAUAUGGAAAUACAUUUCGUUUUAAUUAUUCCAUAUGAUCCUAGGAGUUUUUCACUGAAAAACGCCUAGGAUAAUAUUGUAAUAAAUAGCUGUAACUUGCUCAGGGAACAUAAUAUGCAGAUGAAAUUUAAUUUGAAAGCCUAAAACAUCUAAAUGCAGCUUUGUAAAUAAUAAAAAAGAAAAUCCCUAUGUUCCUGGCGGAGUAAACAGUAAAAAAACACAACAUUUGUACUGGCGUUUUUGAAAAGUGCUGGUAAAUUCAGCCAUUAUCACACAAAGUUAUGGUAAAAUUUGGACUUCAAAUUAGCCAGACUUGAACUAGAGGUUCUCCUGAAUCAAAUGAGGUAAGGCACUUGAUGCUGACUGCAAGAAAAGGUUAGAACAGGUUAGGAGAAACAAAUAAAUACAGGAGAGUCAGGCAGGCGAAAAUUCCGUCUAGGUCUUUAAGGGUUAAUGUGUAGUU